RNAcentral lists this ribosomal RNA (484 nucleotides) under uncultured bacterium. Its description in RNAcentral is "partial 16S ribosomal RNA". It matches the Rfam family "Bacterial small subunit ribosomal RNA", at positions 30 to 507 of the family's 1533-position model. The record is from RNAcentral.
AUUGAACGCUGGCGGCAGGCCUAACACAUGCAAGUCGAGCGGAUGAAGGGAGCUUGCUCCUGGAUUCAGCGGCGGACGGGUGAGUACUGCCUAGGAAUCUGCCUGGUAGUGGGGGAUAACGUCCGGAAACGGGCGCUAAUACCGCAUACGUCCUGAGGGAGAAAGUGGGGGUGCUUCGGACCUCACGCUAUCAGUUGAGCCUAGGUCGGUUUACCUAGUUGGUGGGGUAUAGGCCUACCAAGGCGACGAUCCGUAACUGGUCUGAGAGGAUGAUCAGUCACUGUGGAACUGAGACACGGUCCUGACACUUACGGGAGGCAGCAGUGGGGAAUAGUGGAAGCUGGGCGGAAGCCUGCUCCAGCCAUGCCGGGUGUGUGAAGAAGGUCUUCGGAGUGUAAAGCACUUUAAGUGGGGAGGAAGGGCAGUAAGUUAAUACCUUGCUGUUGUGACGUUACCAACAGAAUAAGCACCGGCUAACUUCGUG